AUUGCUUCUCGGCCUUUUAGCUUAGAUCAGGUGUAGUUUCUGUUCUUAUCAGUUUAAUAUCUGAUAUGUCUUUUGGGUGGCACAGUGGUGUCGCAGAAGAGGUGCGGUCUUACAAUGGCAGAGACCCGAGUUUGAUCUUGACUACGAUUGCUAUCUGUAUAGAGUUGAUACAGGUGCACAACCUUU
Molecule: small nuclear RNA, 186 nt
Organism: Leucoraja erinaceus (little skate)
Lineage: Eukaryota; Metazoa; Chordata; Chondrichthyes; Rajiformes; Rajidae
Product: U2 spliceosomal RNA
Exons: 1
Source: RefSeq, a predicted model, not a curated record